RNAcentral lists this ribosomal RNA (468 nucleotides) under uncultured bacterium. Its description in RNAcentral is "partial 16S ribosomal RNA". It matches the Rfam family "Bacterial small subunit ribosomal RNA", at positions 28 to 507 of the family's 1533-position model. The record is from RNAcentral.
GACGAACGCUGGCGGCGUGCUUACACCAUGCAAGCCGAACGGAAAGGCCCUGCUUUUGUGGGGUGCUCGAGUGGCGACCGGGUGAGUAACACGUGAGUAACCUGCCCUUGACUUUGGGAUAACUUCAGGAACCUGGGGCUAAUACCGGAUAGGAGCUCCUGUUGCAUGGUGGGGGUUGGAAAGUUUCGGCGGUUGGGGAUGGACUCGCGGCUUAUCAGCUUGUUGGUGGGGUAGUGGCUUACCAAGGCUUUGACGGGUAGCCGGCCUGAGAGGGUGACCGGCCACAUUGGGACUGAGAUACGGCCCAGACUCCUACGGGAGGCAGCAGUGGGGAAUAUUGCACAAUGGGCGGAAGCCUGAUGCAGCAACGCCGCGUGCGGGAUGACGGCCUUCGGGUUGUAAACCGCUUUCGCCUGUGACGAAGCGUGAGUGACGGUAAUGGGUAAAGAAGCACCGGCUAACUACGUG